Molecule: ribosomal RNA, 234 nt
Filed under: Solirubrobacterales bacterium
Lineage: Bacteria; Bacillati; Actinomycetota; Thermoleophilia; Solirubrobacterales
Description: partial 23S ribosomal RNA
Rfam family: Bacterial large subunit ribosomal RNA
Source: RNAcentral
GGUGAACGGACCUCUGGUGUAUCUGUUGUCCUGCCAAGGGCAUUGCAGGUUAGCUACGUCCGGACUGGAUAACCGCUGAAGGCAUCUAAGCGGGAAGCCGGCCUCGAGAUGAGCUCUCCCAUCCCCUAGAGGGAGUAAGACCCCUGGAAGACCACCAGGUUGAUAGGCCGGAUCUGGAAGUGCGGUGACGUGCGAAGGAGACCGGUACUAAUGGGUCGAGGGCUUGACGGAUUU